CACAUGCAAGUCGAACGAACCUUCGGGUUAGUGGCGGACGGGUGAGUAACGCGUGGGAAUCUGCCCUCAGGAGGGGGAUAACGGUUGGAAACGACCGCUAAUACCCCAUAUGCCGAGAGGUGAAAUGAAUUUCGCCUGAGGAUGAGCCCGCGUCUGAUUAGCUUGUUGGUGAGGUAAUGGCUCACCAAGGCAUCGAUCAGUAGCUGGUCUGAGAGGAUGAUCAGCCACACUGGGACUGAGACACGGCCCAGACUCCUACGGGAGGCAGCAGUGGGGAAUUUUCCGCAAUGGGCGAAAGCCUGACGGAGCAACGCCGCGUGAGGGACGAAGGCCUCUGGGCUGUAAACCUCUUUUCUCAAGGAAGAAGAUAUGACGGUACUUGAGGAAUAAGCCACGGCUAAUUCCGUGCCAGCAGCCGCGGUAAUACGGGAGUGGCAAGCGUUAUCCGGAAUUAUUGGGCGUAAAGCGUCCGCAGGCGGCCUUUCAAGUCUGCUGUUAAAACGUGGAGCUUAACUCCAUCAUGGCAGUGGAAACUGAUUGGCUUGAGUAUGGUAGGGGCAGAGGGAAUUCCCGGUGUAGCGGUGAAAUGCGUAGAUAUCGGGAAGAACACCAGUGGCGAAGGCGCUCUGCUGGGCCAUUACUGACGCUCAUGGACGAAAGCCAGGGGAGCGAAAGGGAUUAGAUACCCCUGUAGUCCUGGCCGUAAACGAUGAACACUAGGUGUCGGGGGAAUCGACCCCUUCGGUGUCGUAGCUAACGCGUUAAGUGUUCCGCCU
RNAcentral lists this ribosomal RNA (776 nucleotides) under uncultured cyanobacterium. RNAcentral's name for it is "bacterial SSU rRNA". It matches the Rfam family "Bacterial small subunit ribosomal RNA", at positions 52 to 874 of the family's 1533-position model. Lineage: Bacteria; Bacillati; Cyanobacteriota. The record is from RNAcentral.